This 1072-nucleotide long non-coding RNA is filed under the name Nicotiana tabacum (common tobacco). RNAcentral's name for it is "long non-coding RNA (NTAB_LNC017731)". The record is from RNAcentral. Lineage: Eukaryota; Viridiplantae; Streptophyta; Magnoliopsida; Solanales; Solanaceae.
UCCCCCAAACCCUAGAGAAGCCAGAGAUGACGCCCUACACACUAUUCAUCGUCUCAUUCAUUGAUCCUUAACCCUCAACUCGCCAUAACUCACCCGAGUUCACUCAAAACGGUCCCCCUCUCCACGUCACCUCUAUUUCCCAACGGAUUUGUCAUAGGGGAGUACGAAUAUUCCCUCAAAAUCGCGGAUUUUUGUACAAAAAGGAUAAUUGUUGGAUGAAUGGGAGCUGUGGAUAGAUGUGAAUCAAUCCACGCCCUCCAUUUGUCCCAAAAUUGUUCAAAAACAUGAAGGAUUUUCAGAUUUUUGGGCAGAUUAUUUGGAGAGUUUGAAGACUAUAUAUACGAGGUAGACAUUCUUUGUAAGAUUAGAGAGAAAAAUCGGAUAAAAAUCUUCAGAAAAACUUAGUCAAAAUUUCUAGGUUUUUUUUUAUUUGUCAUCUCUUCAGACCUUCUUCUCUUUUUUCUGCAGAAACAUAAAAAAAAGAGACAUCAUGGUUUGAGUUCAUUUUUUUACUCUAUUUUUUAGAGAAAAAAUCAAAAAGGAGUUACUGAAAACAAAUUUUCUUUAGCGUUUGUUCUUUGGGUUGGAGUUUUGUUUCUCAAGGGAGCUUGAUUUAACGGUUCAAGUUGAAGUCGAGUUUUCUUUUGGAGUUCAAAAUUUCAGUCUUGGUUCGGGUUCAAGCUGGUUGAUUCCUGUGUUCUUGUUGCGCUGCUGUUAUUGCUGAUUUUUUCUGCUUGCGCCGAGCUUUGCUGAGUUUUCUAGCUUCUUUUUAUUUCUUGCUUGUAGAGGUACGAAUUCCUACUAUUGAGAACUUUCAAAUGUUUGUAGUCGUUGAAAUUUGUGAGAUAUAAUUAUUGAGCCUCAUGUGUGUUUUCUCUCAUUGUUUUAUUGUUAAUGUCCAAGUUGUAAGUAAAAUGAGUUUAAUGACCAAUUCUGUUAGUUCUUCAGCAGAUUUUUGUUUGGACACAUUUGUAUCAGUUGUGCUAUGUGCUCUGAAAUGGUCUAUAAGGGCGUAUUCCUAGAUCUGUUGAUUGUGUGGGUUUAGCCCUUUUAGUAAGUCAAGUACUCCACC